Long non-coding RNA from Asparagus officinalis (garden asparagus), 515 nucleotides. RefSeq lists it as uncharacterized. The transcript is spliced from 3 exons. The record is from RefSeq and is a predicted model, not a curated record. NCBI's taxonomy places the organism in Eukaryota, Viridiplantae, Streptophyta, Magnoliopsida, Asparagales, Asparagaceae.
UAUUGGAAAGUAGAAUAUGAGAAGCGUCCUCAAUUAUCCAUGAUGGCUCGUGAUAUACUCAGUAUCCCUAUUACUUCAGUGGCCUCUGAAUCUGCUUUCAGCAUAGCUGGUCGUGUGCUUGAUAAGUACCGCAAUCGUCUUCUUCCGGAAAAUGCCGAAGCUCAAAUAUGCCUUGGUUCUUGGUUAGAGGAGGUUCCUUCUUUGGAAGAUAUUGAAGAAGGACAUCUGUUGGUGCAUGAUUUUAGUGAUAUUCAAAAUUUUGAAUCUGAAGGAGGGUGGUGAAGUGCUUGUUAGAAGAUUUGUCAUCUAUUAAGCUUGAGGCCAUGGGAUUUGCUCGAGCUCUUAUACUGCAAGUGUUCUUUGCCUGCAACAAGAGCGAAGAGAUGACAACAAACUACCUUUUGGAUCAUAUACAUGAGUUUGAGAACGAUCGGUAGUUUAAGAAAAGUCUAAGAUCAAUCGCCCCUUUCACUUUCAUCCAGUUUUAACUUAUCUUGUAGUGAUUAUUGUUCGAU